This 262-nucleotide ribosomal RNA is filed under the name uncultured archaeon. RNAcentral's name for it is "partial 16S ribosomal RNA". It matches the Rfam family "Archaeal small subunit ribosomal RNA", at positions 748 to 1009 of the family's 1478-position model. The record is from RNAcentral.
AGGGUGUAAACGCUGCGGGCUUGGUGUUGGGGGUCCUUAGUGGGCGCCCAGUGCCGGAGAGAAGUUGUUAAGCCUGCUGCUUGGGGAGUAUGUCCGCAAGGAUGAAACUUAAAGGAAUUGGCGGGGGAGCGCCGCAACGGGAGGAGCGUGCGGUUCAAUUGGAUUCAACGCCGAAAAAACUCACCAGGAGCGACGGAUAUAUGAAGGUCAAGCUGAUGACUUUACCUGAUUUUCCGAGAGGAGGUGCAUGGCGUAGUCGUGU